RNAcentral lists this ribosomal RNA (468 nucleotides) under uncultured bacterium. RNAcentral's name for it is "partial 16S ribosomal RNA". It matches the Rfam family "Bacterial small subunit ribosomal RNA", at positions 28 to 507 of the family's 1533-position model. The record is from RNAcentral.
GACGAACGCUGGCGGCGUGCUUAACACAUGCAAGUCGAACGGAAAGGCCCUGCUUUUGUGGGGUGCUCGAGUGGCGAACGGGUGAGUAACACGUGAGUAACCUGCCCUUGACUUUGGGAUAACUUCAGGAAACUGGGGCUAAUACCGGAUAGGAGCUCCUGCUGCAUGGUGGGGGUUGGAAAGUUUCGGCGGUUGGGGAUGGACUCGCGGCUUAUCAGCUUGUUGGUGGGGUAGUGGCUUACCAAGGCUUUGACGGGUAGCCGGCCUGAGAGGGUGACCGGCCACAUUGGGACUGAGAUACGGCCCAGACUCCUACGGGAGGCAGCAGUGGGGAAUAUUGCACAAUGGGCGGAAGCCUGAUGCAGCAACGCCGCGUGCGGGAUAACGGCCUUCGGGUUGUAAACCGCUUUCGCCUGUGACGAAGCGUGAGUGACGGUAAUUGGUAAAGAAGCACCGGCUAACUACGUG